ACUGCUCAGUAACACGUGGAUAACAUGCCCUAAGGUGGGGGAUAAUCUCGGAAAACUGAGGAUAAUACCCCAUAGGUCUGAUCUGCUGGAAUGCUUUCAGGCCGAAAACUCCGGUGCCUUAGGAUUGGUCUGCGGUCUAUCAGGCAGUAGUGGGUGUAACGGACCCACUAGCCCGUGACGGAUAUGGGCCUUGAGAGAGGGAGCCCAGAGAUGGACUCUGAGACAUGAGUCCAGGCCCUACGGGGCGCAGCAGUCGCGAAAACUUCGCAAUGGGGGCAACCCCGACGAGGGAAUUCCAAGUGCCAGCACUUUGUGUUGGCUGUUCUCCUGUCUAAAAAACAGGAGGAGUAAGGGGCGGGUAAGACGGGUGCCAGCCGCCGCGGUAAUACCCGCGCCCCUAGUGGUGGUCGAUAUUAUUGAGCCUAAAACGUCCGUAGCCGGUCUUUUAAAUCCUUGGGUAAAUCGGGCAGCUUAACUGUCCGAAGUCCGGGGAGACUGGAAGACUUGGGACCGGGAGAGGUCAGAGGUACUUCUGGGGUAGGGGUAAAAUCCUGUAAUCCUGGAAGGACCACCGGUGGCGAAGGCGUCUGACUAGAACGGAUCCGACGGUGAGGGACGAAGCCCUGGGGCGCAAACGGGAUUAGAUACCCCGGUAGUCCAGGGUGUAAACGCUGCGGGCUUGGUGUUGGGGGUCCUUAGUGGGCGCCCAGUGCCGGAGAGAAGUUGUUAAGCCUGCUGCUUGGGGAGUAUGUCCGCAAGGAUGAAACUUAAAGGAAUUGGCGGGGGAGCAC
RNAcentral lists this ribosomal RNA (791 nucleotides) under uncultured archaeon. RNAcentral's name for it is "bacterial SSU rRNA". It matches the Rfam family "Archaeal small subunit ribosomal RNA", at positions 85 to 879 of the family's 1478-position model. The record is from RNAcentral.